UAAUCACUUGUCAAAACAUUAGCGCUAAUCAUUAAUCUCAAAAAUUCGAACUAUUAAAAAUAAUUAAUUAAUUUACUGAAAGCAUACAGAUACAUAUUUCACAGAUCUCGAUUGUGAUUUGAUCCAACCAGUCUCACGCCAUUUCGAAUAUGACUCGACUCACUCAGUCUCAUACUAUUUCGGACAUGACUCGACCCAACAUCACCUCCCGCAAUAAGACAGAAUGCUGGCUCAUUUAAACCCACAAUAGGGCUCGGCGCAUCCGAGAGCCCACAACCCGAUAUAGUUUACGCAUUUCGAAGCGUCUGAAAAUGACACGAAUGACGAAUAGAACAGCGUCACAUUAUAAUCGUACUCGCCAACUUCUGUAUUCUGACAAUUUGUUAAAUUGUAGCUAGAUUAGGAUGGGUAUUUAAAUCUGUAUGAAAUAAAUUGAAUAGAUAUUAAUUUAAGGUGUGACCGUACGUACAAUGAUUGCAUGCACGUAGUAAUUAAUACGGGUGCAUCGUAAGAGAGUUCUCAUUUGAAUUUGGAAAAAACUUCAAAUACCACAUUUUAGUUUCACAGUUUUUUACUUUAAUACUCUAUGGUUUAAAGUUUUUAACUUUAAUACUCUAUGGUUUAAAGUGUAUAAAUUUAGUAUCCUAUGAUUUUAUUUUUAUCUCUUUAUCAUUGAUUUCAUAAAUUUUUUUCGUUAAAUCAGUAACAAAGUUAAAACUAAAGAGUACUAAAAUAAAUAUUUGAUAAACCGAGUUGAGAUAUCUAAUUAAAAUUUUUUGUAUAUAAUUUAACGAAAUAUUAACGAAAAAACUGACGAAAAGAUAAAAAUAAAAUCAUAGGACACUAACUUGAUAUACUUUAAACCAUAGGGUACUAAAGUGAGAAAGUGCAAAACUAUAUGGAUGGUAUUUGAAGUUUAUCCUUAAAUUUAUAGAAAAUGAGAAAGGAAUGGUAGAGAUUUAGUAAGAGAGGUUGUGUUGAAGUUUUUUCAUAUAGAAAAGUAGUCGAGUGUAAUUUUUUUCUUGGUUCGUGAAUUAUUUAUAUUUUUUAUUUGGUUUUUUUUUUCUUAUUUUUUUUUGUAAUCGUAUCAGGUUUUGCUAAGUAGACGGCGGGUUUAUAGUAAAAAUUCAAUUUGACGCUUCCGUUGCGGAAUUCCAACGACUGGUAAUAGAGCAAAUACUGAAUUUACAGUAAUAAAUAUCAGAGCGGAUUGGAGAUUCGUAAUAUCAAAUUCCCAACAGCAUGAACCCAAAAUUAUAACAAUUUGUCUUAAAAAACUUAAGCAAGUAUAUCUGAACUCCCUGUUUUUUUUUAAUAAAAUAUCUAAUGGAGUUUGAACAUAGAAUCUUUUGCUAUAACAUUAUGUAAAAUAAUAAUAUAGGUAAACAUGUAUAGAACUUGCUCAAACUAUGAGUCAUUCGAGCCAACUAUCAGAUUUUUUUAAAUUUUGAUUUUGCUACCGAAUCUUUCAAUUUUUUUGAUUUGAGCCCCUCAACGACAUUUGAACUUUCAAAAUUUAAAAUUCAUCAUCUAUCUUUACAUAUUUAACCCAAAUACUUCAUCCAAUUCUCGCAACUAUACGUUCAUUAAAUUAAACAAUUAGCUUAAAUUUUGAAGUAGAAGAGUCGUUGACUAACUCAAAUCAAAUAAAUUUGAAAUUGGAUAGUAAAAUCAAAAUUUUGAAUGAUAGUGUAGUCGAUUCAAAAUAAUUUAAAGUUCAAAUAAAUUUUAUACAUUUUUACCGAUAAUAUAAGGCAAUUACUUUUCGCAUGAUUGUUAUAAUUCUUUCUUGUUGACAGUGGAGUGUCCAAUUAACGAAGCACACGAAUUUAAAUUUAGGUAAAAAUAUGCAGAAUUUAUCAAGAUUAUAAAUCAUUUUAAAACGACUGUCCUCAAAAUUUUGAUUUUACUAUCCAACCACUCAAUUUGUUCGAUUUAAGCUAGUCAACGAUAUUUUGAUUUCAAAAUUUGAAUGCAUCAUUUAUCUUUAUAUGUUUCAUUAAUACAUUUUAUAUAAUCCUCAUAACUAUAAAUUCAUUAACAUAAGAAAUUAGCUUAAAUUUUGAAGUAAAAUUAUUGCUGAACUAACUCAAAUCAAAUAAAUUUGAAAUUGGAUAGUAAAAUCAAAAUUUUGAAUGAUAGUGUAGUCGAUUCAAAAUAAUUUAAAGUUCAAAUAAGUUUUAUACUUUUUUACCAAUAAUAUAAGGCAAUUAUUUUGCGCAUGAUUGUUAUAAUUCUUUCUUGUUGACAGUGGAGUGUCCAAUUAACGAAGCACACGAAUUUAAAUUUAGGUAAAAAUAUGCAGAAUUUAUCAAGAUUAUAAAUCAUUUUAAAACGACUGUCCUCAAAAUUUUGAUUUUACUAUCCAACCACUCAAUUUGUUCGAUUUAAGCUAGUCAACGAUAUUUUGAUUUCAAAAUUUGAAUACAUCAUUUAUCUUUAUAUGUUUCAUUAAUACAUUUUAUACAAUCCUCACAACUAUAAAUUUCUUAAAAUAAGAAACUAGCUUAAAUUUUGAAGUCAAAUCACUGUUGACCGACUCAAAUCAACUAAACUGAAAGAUUCAAAAUAAUAAAAUUCAAAUAUUUUUAAAUUGGGUAGCCAUUUUAAAAUGAAGUUUAGUUUUACCUUGAACCCUCUUAAAUCACGACAGAUGCAUUGUACGCUGAUAAUACGUUAUAUUAUAAAUGAUCAUCUAUCCUACCCAAACUUUAAAUACUAAAAGGAGACAUUCUGUUGAAUGUAAUUGUAAAUACAAUAUAAUUAAAAAUGUAUGCAGCUAGAAAUACAGUAGUUGCAAUUAUAUGCAUCUUGUUUGAUUGGAUACUUGGAUGUGGCAAAUACAUUAGAAUUAUAAAUAAUUUAUUUGGUAGUAUACUGUUGAGAAGUAUAUUUGUAAAUUUUAUUAUUUUAUAUAUGGGUGAUAAUUAUUAGAAAAUGUAAACUUAUCUUUUAUUUAAAUUGUUAUCUCAAACUAUUGCAGUUGAGCUUUCUCGUUUAAUUCCAACUGCAGCUGUUAAAUUCGAAUGUAUGAAAUAAAAUACCAAAUUAAGAUUUACAAAUAGUUUAAAAAUAUAGUGCAAUUGCGACUGCGUGCAACUAAUAUGGAAACAAUGCUAUCGCAAACAAAUCACGUAUAUGUGGGCUUGAGGAAGUGAAGCCCAAUAUAAGGCCUAAAUUAUUAGAUUGGGCCGGGCCUCCAAAUGAAAAGCCCAAAAUAAUUCAGACUCGUCUCGAGCUUACCAGUGGAGCCCAAUCGACCCCAACCAAUUUGGACAUAGUUAGCAUUUAAAAGGGUCUUUUUUUCCUUUUAGCUACCUCAGAAUUUUUUUUUUUUUUUUUUUUCACAAAUACUCCUGCAAAAUUUAUAUUUGUAACAUCUGUCCUAUCCCCGCCACACAAGCACCACGCGAACUCCACAUACAUGUGGCUGGUUAAGUUGAAUACGUUUAACCAUUCUCCAUGUCCUUUUCACAUUCAUUGUGUUUAUUAUAUUAAAUAUUGUAUAAGUUUAGUUAAACAUGAUAAAUCAUUCACCGUAUCCAUUUACGGUAAAUGAUUCACUGUAUUCAACUUAAUUUGUUACGCUUACAUGGCGCUUGCAUGGCGUUUGCGUGGCGGGAAAAGGACUAAUCUUGUAAAUAUAAAUUUUAUGAAGCUAUUGUGAAAUUUUUUUUCAGAGGGCUAAAAGCAAAAAAAAGGUAAUUUAAAAUAGGUAGAAAAUUUCAGACGGGCGGAUUCGGACCAGACAAACUGAUCUGAUCCGAAAUCACACUCCGCCUUUUCUCAUUUGGAUCUCAUAUCCGAACCCGAAAUCUACUGAAUCCGCACAAGGGUCAAUUGCACCAUUGGUCCCCGAUCUUUACUCGAUUUUUCUUUUUUUGGGUUGUUCCCUAACUUUGGUCUUUUCUAUACUUUGAUCCUUAUUUUCUUCUUUCAUAUUUAUUUAUCUAUUAGAAGUGACCAUCUUUACUAUCAUCCUCUGCAUCUAUGACUAUCGUCUAUUCUAAAGUAUUCAACACUCUAGCGUUGAGCCGAUUAUGUUACCAAACUCUUUCGAAAAUUUAGAAAAGUCGAUACUGAGAUUGAUUUGGAUUAUUAAAUCAUACAUAUAUAUGUACAUAUAUUGACGUUGGCUUCAGUCUAUUUUAUCAAAAUUAAUAGGAACCUGAGUGAUUGAAACCAAACUGCAAUAAACUAUAAAAAUCAGUCAUGCAAAUGGGUAAAAGGAAAAAGAAAAAGACCAAAGUAAAUCAAAAGAGCAAAGCAAUCUAUACACUAACAUCUCACUAAUCCUGAGACAUAAUUUAUUUACUAUUCAUAUCCAAAAGAAGUGAAUGGAUAGUAAUUUUCUAAAUGUAAAAAUGUAUAAAAGUUUUUAGAACUAUAGACCAUUUUGAUUUGACUACUCAAACUUUCAAAAUUUUGAUUUUAGCGUCCAACCAUUCAAUUUGUUUAAUUUAAGUAAUUGAUGGCUCUCCAAAUAUAAAAUUUAAGCUAAUUAUCUACUUUAAUAAAUUUAUAGUUAUGUAAAUUAUAUAAAAUAUACUAACUAAAUUUAUAGAAAUAAAUGAUACAUUCAAAUUUUAAAGCUAAAUAGUCACUAAUUGGGUCAAAUAAAAAAGAAAAUAAAAGGUUAGAUAGUAAAUAUCAAAAUAUUGAAAGAUUAGGUAGCCAAAUCCAAAUGUAUAAUAGAUUGAUAGUUUAGGUGUCACAGAUUCGGACACACGAUAUGAAACACGACAUGCCUAUGACAUGAUCACUCAUUAGCUUCAAAAAAUUAGGACACAGACACGAUAUUAAUAAAAUAUAAUAUUAACCUUAUUAAUAUAAUACAAUAUAUUUAUUAUAUAUAAAAUAUUAAUUUUGAUAAAAUGUUAUUAUAUUUUAUACCAAUAAAGUUAAUAAAUUUUUUAUUGAUAGUUCAUAUUUUUUUAAAAAAAUUCUCUUAUACAUAAUUUAUUAAAACAAAAUAUUUAUUAUAUUAUUAUAUAUACAUAAAAAAUAAUAUAAAAAGAAUAUAUUUUUUUAAAGGGAUGUACCAUGGACUCCAUCUAGGCAUUGCAAACGGAUCCGGAUUGGUGGAGCGCCCGCCCGGCCAUGACAGGGCAGUAAAUGGAAAAAAUAAACGGAUUCAGGGGCGGAAACGGGAUAAAUUUUACGAUCCGAGAUGGAUUCGGGGCAGGAAACGGGAGAAAUUUUGACCCGCCUCGAAUCCGCCCUGCCAUGAUCCGUCCUGAAUCCGCCCUGAAUUCGCCCCGAAAAUCAUUUAUAUUUUAAAAAAAUAUUCCUAAAAAAUAAUGUAUUUACAAAAAAGUUCAAAAUACAAAUAAUUUAGUAUUCUCAUUCUAAUGUAUUUGAAACUUUUGAAUUUUGUUUGAAUUGUGAUUGUAUUUUUUUUAUAAUUAAUGUUGUUAAAUUAUAUAUAUAAUAUUAUUAAAAAAUAUUAAUUUAUAUUUACAAAUAUUUAAUAAUAUUAUAAUUUUAUAAAACAUAUUAUUGGCGGGGCGGAUUCGGGGCGCCGGCGGAAAACGGUUACGAGGCGGGCGGAUUAUGGAUGUAUUUUUUAACCCAUCACGGAUUCAGGGCGGAAGGCGGGGCGAGAUUUGCUAGUUGGGGCGGGAGGCGGGGCGGGGCUCCCGCCCCCAAAUCCGCCCCGUUUGCAUCCCUACUCACGUCGAACGCGUAACCAUAGUGUUACCGCGUCAGACACGAGCCCGAUACGGACAAGCAAGACUUAAAAAAGUGUUUGUGAUAGGUAGGGACGUAAAACAGGUCGGGUAGCCCACGCGCCUUCAGGCCGGGCAACAGCACGGUAUGGAUACUAUAGCAUCCGGCCCGACUUGGCCCGGCCUAGACUUUCGGUUCAUGUUGGGCCACUAUAAUUGGGCACGAUGGCUUGGCACGGUCCGGCCAAUAACGGGCCUGGGUCAAGCCGGGCAGAGAAGAGGUUCGCGGUCUGAUUGGCACGGCCCACCAGGCCAACGUGGCCCGGACCCCACGGCCGAAGGCAACCUGCUUUGGGCUUGGGGUUCGAGCUCCUAGAGAGAAGGGCUCCUCGGGAGGAGUCUCCCCAAGAGCGCUCCUCCCAAGGUUGGGAGGAGUGGGUGGUUUUUGAUUUAAUGGACCAAACAAUUUUGAUCUAUUAGAUAAAAAAUUUAUUUUUUAAAAAUUAAUAAUAAUAAAAUAAUAAUUUAUAUUUUUUUUAUAAAAAUUUAAAAUUUUAUUAUUUUAUAAUUAUUUUAAUAAAUUUAAAAUUUUUUAAUUAAAAUAUCAAUUUAAAGAGAAAUUAAGGAUUUAAGUGCCGUAGCACGGAGUCGUGCCGGAAACUUGCUGGUACAAUACAGCACGGUGCGUGCCGGGCUGUGCCGAUACGUGCCAGUAACAAAAAAUUCAUAUGUGCCAACACAUAAUAAUAUGAAAUAUUUAUUUUCUAUAACAACAAAAUAUUCUAAUGGUUAAUUAUGUAAUUUUAUCAAAUCUUUUAAAUUUUGUUGAGAAAAUUACUUAUUAAUUUAAAGAAUAAAAAAUUUUGAGUUGUGUCAUUGACACGGGGGCUGUAUCGUAUCAAUAUCUUGUUGGCACGAUACGGUAUGAUAGAUACGGCCCGGAUGGACACUUAAAUCGUUGAUAGGAAUAAUACAUUAUUUUAAUUUUUAAAAAUUUUAUAUUUUUUUUAAAAAAUAAAAAAGAUAAGGAACCGGCCCGGAGAACGGCACGGUUCGUGUCUUCCGGGCCGGACGGCAGAGCUGGGCCGGAGGGUUGUUAGCUCCGGACCGGCCCGUAUUUUAAACCGGGCCGGGCCGAGGAAAGUUUUAUACAUUUUUAUGUUUUUUUAAAAAAAGAAAAAUUUGUAGAGUUUAGAGGCCCCCCUUAACCAUUUCUAAGGGGAAAAACCCCUUCGUCGCUGUUGCUGGUGGAGAGGGUUUUGGCGCUCAAUUCCACAACCCCCGAAGCCCCCAACGCGCGCUGUAGCGAGAAAGGGUUUUUAUUUUUUUUUCCUCUCUUUUGGUGGCGCAUCGCCGAGUUCCCGAAGGAAACCCUAUGGCGGAGAUCAUGGAGAUCGACGACGACGACGACGCCCCCGCCGCUGCGCCGCCACCGCCGAAGCUCGACAAGGGCAAAUCCCCCCUCGCUCACGACGUCGCCAAAUCCGCUCCCUGGGUCGAGAAGUACCGCCCCAAAUCCCUCGCCGACGUCGCCGCCCACCGCGACAUCGUCGACACAAGUACUCCCCCUCUCUCGAUCCCGGAUUCGUCGUCGUUGUUGCUGAUGUUGUUGUUGAUGAUGUUGUUUUUGAUGGUUUUGUUGUUGUUGAUGAUGAUGAUGAUGAUGAUGAUGAUGAUGUUUUGGUUACUAUGAUUUUUGGCCGUUGUAGUUGAUCGUCUCACCAACGAGAACAGGCUCCCGCAUUUGCUCCUUUACGGUCCCCCGGGGACGGGGAAAACGUCGACGAUCCUCGCCGUCGCGCGGAAGCUCUAUGGUUCGCAGUACCAGAACAUGAUCCUCGAGCUCAACGCGUCGGAUGAUAGGGGGAUUGGUGUCGUUCGGCAGCAGAUUCAGGAUUUCGCGAGCGCUCGGAGCCUGUCGUUUGGGUAAAAGAGAGCUAGAUGAAAAUUAUGCAAUCUAUGAAUAGAUUUAGGCUUUUAGCUGUAGCUAUCAUAGAGUAUUUGACAAUCAGAAAAGUUUGAAACUCUUCCUGUAGCACUAAGCAAAAAAAAUGUGAUUUUUAGGUCCUAGUGAAGAGGCUCCAACUUGGGAGCGAAGCCAUUGGAAAAAAUUAUUUAGGUAAAAAUGUAUGGUGACCUUCUCAACUAUAUAGGCCAUUUUCAAGUAGGACAUCCAAAUUUUCUAUUUUGAUUGGCGGCCCUUCAAUCUUUAAUUGCUUGAUUUGAUCUCUCUUUAUUGAAUUGGGGAUUUCUUUAAAAUUUAGCACUUUGUUUCUAUUACAAUUGUAAAGAGUGUCCAGUGCAUUUCUUUUCUAGAUGGUAUGGGAAUAUGUGACCAAAUUGAGAUUUGCUCACCAUAACAAACACUAGAAUGAAUAAUAAAAGGACUUAUCUGAAUUUUGCGGACCUUUGAAACAGUGAACUGCUUAUAAUCUAUUUCAAUACAUGCUGCUGGUUUGUUACUGGGUAAGCCAAAUUGGAUUACAUAUUUGUAAUUUGACCUUUAAGUACUUGUAAAAUUCUAUUCUUCUUCUAUGUUUACGUAGAGCAAAGCCUUCUGUUAAAUUGGUACUGUUGGAUGAAGCAGAUGCAAUGACCAAGGAUGCACAGUUUGCUUUGCGUCGAGGUUUGCUGAUAUUAUAGAACUAUCAUUUUUAAAUAAUAAUUUCAUAACCGUGCUUCUCGUUAUCAAGCUUACCAAAUUUGUUUAUAUUUUCUCUUGGUUUAGUGAUUGAGAAACAUACAAAGAGCACAAGGUUUGCACUUAUCUGCAAUCAUGUCAACAAAAUAAUACCAGCAUUACAGUCAAGGUGCACUCGCUUUAGGUUUGCUCCCCUUGAGGCUACCCAUAUUAGAGAACGUCUACAGUAUGUGAUAAAAGCUGAAGGGUAUGUCCCUACCUUACCUUGAUUAAUUUAUGAAUCUUUAAUGUGAUUUACUGAUGUUUAUGUAGUUAGAAAGAUUAAUUUCCUGGUUUCAAACUUCCCCUGAAUCUAAUGGUUAUUUUUUAAGGCAUUUUAUUAAGGCUGGUCUUCUUCAUUUCAUUUUUUGUGUUCCUGUUUAGCAUUGAUAUAAUACAUUAGUCUAUGCUUCUUAGUUUUCUCUUGCUAUGCUAGUCUGAAAGACCAAGUUUCAUACUUUCCUGGAUUAUUAUCUGGAAUAAAGACUAAGAUGUAUUAUUGCUUGACUUAGUUGAGCUUAAUAACUUGUAUUACUUUUGCUGUGAUUUAGUUGUGCUCAAUAACUUGUAUUACUUACUUUUACUUCUUGUUCUAUGUUUCUUGACUGCCUUUUGCAAGAAAGGAUUUGCCAUGUUAUGUUGGCAGUAGUGAGUUCAUUUUUAUUUCCUUUCCCGGUGGGUUUAAUCCAAGGAUUGGCUAAGGAUUGUCAUGCCACUGGCAGGGCUUAUGCUGUUGUGCCGGAGGCAUAGCACAGCACAGUGGCACGGGGCAUGCCAAUGUCGGCAUGCCCCUUCAUGCCAAUGGCACGCCAUUGGUAUAUUGGCACAGGUUUUUUCUAAUUAAUUUUUCAUGAAAAUUUAGUUUUUUAAGAGUAUUUUAAUAUCUUUAGGGGCUAUAAAAAUGGUUUAUGUAUUAUAUCUCACACAAUUAAGUAAGAAUAGAGUUAUAAUCUUCUGAAUAACUAAAGAAAAAAAAUAUUUAUAUAGAUUAUGAAAUUAUAUGGAUAAAGCCAAAACUAAAGUCAUAAUUGGAUAAAAAUUUAUAGGGAAACACUACCAUGAAUAAAAUCAUUAGAUCUAAAACGAUAAAAGAAAUUUGAGGAAAUCUUUUUAAUUGUAAUUUUUCACUAAAAGUUGGUCUUAUAAUGAAAUAGAAUUUAUCAAUUACUCCAAAUGUUAGUACAUUUAGAAGAUCUACGUCCUUUUAAGUAUAAAAAAAUUUACUACCUCAAAAAGAACCCCAGAAAAAUGUAAAAAAAAAACCUAGUUUGUCGAUAUAGCGUUGGCACAACCCUGUGCCAUGUGCCAACACGGCCUCAGCAUGGUAUGGCAUGGGCAGCACAUGCAGUCCUUGGUUUAAUCUAUAAAUUCUUGAUCCAGUAGGACUUCAAGAGCUUGCUAACUAAUCCAUCUAGCAUUUCUCCGAUCCUUACAGUACCACUAUAGUGCCUUGCAGUAUCAUUACUGUGCUGUACAGUACUGCUAAAAUUCUUAGCAGUACUUGAUAUUUUUAUUGCAAUUUUCCUUCUUUCUGGACCUCUCAGUUUGGGGUGUUACGUAGCAUAACAAUAUUUGAUAAAAUAUGGUCUUACUUAUGUCAAUCAUUUCCAUCAGAAUAACUAUUUGUCUCAGUACUGGCGAGUGCUAUGGGUAACUUCCAAGUUUCUACUUUUGUAAAACUAAGCCGAUGCUCCAAAUUAGCGAAAACAGUUGUUUCAACCUGUUAUACUUGGUUUUUGCCUUUCGUGCAGUGAAGAAUCCAAUUAAUGGCAGUUCUUUUUUCAUCAUAGGUGACCUUUUUAGAUAUGUCUGCACACUUUGGAAAAAUUCAUGUACAAUUUUUUUGUCCUGUUAGGCUUGAUGUGGAUGAGAGUGGCCUUACAGCACUAGUACGGUUGAGCAAUGGUGACAUGAGAAAGGCUUUGAACAUAUUGCAGGUUCUGAUCUGCACUAUCUAACACUUUUAAGCUCUUUAUGCUUAUUUUUUUUUAAAAAAAAUAUGUGCUUCUGUUAACUACUUUGUUUUCAUCUAGGAUUCACUUGUUAGAUCAGUAGGAAGUCUGAUCUGCGCAGUCAUUUUUGUUCUCUACUUUGUUUUGAGUAGCUUGGUUAAUAAACUUGACCUAUAUGAUCUCCUUUAGCUCACUCGUUGACCAAUAAAGUGAAUAACAUUUUUUUUUGAUUUAGAGGCUUAGAGCUAGAUAGUCCUUCAUUUGAGGUCUGUAAGUUAACUUCUCUAAAUUUGCCAGCCUUCUCCUUAUUCUUACAUUGAGAUUUAUUCUCCAUUUCUGUUUUGCAGUCAACGCAUAUGGCUUCUCAACAUAUAACAGAAGAAGCCGUCUACCUUUGCACUGGAAAUCCAAUGCCAAAAGACAUUGAGCAGAUAGCCUAUUGGUUACUGAAUGAAUCAUUUACAACCAGUUUCAGAUGUAUCCUACACGAAUUGUUUCCAUUUCUAUGUUUUCUUUCUUAGUUAUCUUUUAAUCUGAAUAUACACAUGUUAUGAAUUUGUCCUUUACUUUGUUUAGAUAUAUCUGAUAUAAAAAUGAGGAAAGGAUUGGCGUUGAUCGAUAUUGUGAGGGAGGUUACUAUGUAUGGAUUUACAAACUCAUCUUUUUCCUUUUUGUUUACCCUUUAAUAAGUGGACUUUUCUUUUGUAGCGGUCUCUAACGAAUUGCUUUCUCAGGUUUGUUUUCAAAAUACAAAUGCCAUCAAAUGUCCAAGUAAAACUAAUCAAUGAUUUGGCAGAUAUCGAGUAUGUUCUAAAUUUUCACAUCUGGCUUGUUAUUAAUCUUUUUGCUAUAGUUGUGUAUCUAUUGCUUGUACUUCUUGUGUUUCUGAUGACCAUGAGUACGGUACGAAUGGAUAUAGUCAUGAUCAGUGCUGGGGACACAUAAGCUCAACCUAAGUAUCUUUCGUAUAUAGCAUCUGGAACAAGCCUUGCCUCAUUAUAUGUGUAAUCACUCUUUUUUUCAAAAAAAAAAAAAAAUCAAAUUUGUAAACUUGUACCAAGUAAUCUGACUGGGUAAGAUAGGGUUACAUCAGAUCAAUCUGGAUUUAUUCACUAUGUAGGAUUCAUUGUAAAACUUCAGCAGCUGGAAGAAGUUAAGGCUUAUAAUAGUCAUUUCAUUCAAGAAGAAGAAUCUGGUUUAGGUUUAAAUCCAAUUCUAACUGUACGAAAGCUGUGCAGUUAAAGAACCAAUGCAUUAGUUUUACAAUAUAUAUUCAAAUUAGCAUCAAACAAGCCAAAAGGUGUGCAGGCUUUUAGGUUAGCUUAGCAAGUGCCUUUGUUUCAGAUUUGCCAUUUUUGGAAGAUACACUAAUAUUCCAGUCCUAUAUUGGUAUGAAAAGUUAAUGCAUGAUCCUUCUGAAGCUCAAACCAGAUAUUUAAUGAUGGCAAGAUGUGUAUGUUGAGGCGGACGAGUGAUCUCGCAAAAAGAGAAUAAGAAGCAAGUUUGACUGGCAAAAGUUGGAAAUAGCAUUUCUCGAGUAUAUGUGGCUGAAAAUCUCAUAAAAUGGUUUUGACAUGUUGUAUAGGUAUGAGUUGCAAAAAUAAGUGUGACGACCCAAUAAUGCCACAUUGGGGAGGACAGUAAUUCCUAUGGGAAAGGAAUUUCUUGUAGGAAUACAAGGAUCAAGGGCUCUAGUAAUAAUAAUUGGGCCUAAACAUUUUUGGCGCGUGGUUUGGGCCUAAAAAUUAUAAUGCUAGCAGGUUGGGUCAUUAUAUUUAGUAUCAGGGGCGGUUUGUUAGCUGGAAGUGUAAGAUUGAUUUCACAUUGCCGGGUAAUAUUGAGCUAGGGAAUGAAAUCGCCUGGUAAUAUUGAGCUAGGGAAUUGGACUUGACGAGGACAUAAAGGUUUAAAUAGGGGAGUCUGUAAUGCUCUAAUAGUCCCAUAUCGGAUGAAAAAGAAAUUCCUUUUGGGAACAUAGGUACUAAGGCUGUAAUAAUAGUGUAACUAGACUUAAGCAUUUUUACUCAGCGGUUUGGGCCCAAUAAGUUAUUAGUACUAGUGGAUUGCAUUAUUAGAAUAAGUGACUCUUCAGAAGAUGCUUGAGAAUAGGAUGGCCAAAAAUGUUGUUGGAGAAGCAAGAAAAAGGCGUAACAUUUACUUUCAUGUCGGACCAUGUUUAAAUAGUGUUGACCACUGAGUGAGAGGAAACUAUCUAUAUAGCAAACCCCAAUAAGAGUGAUCAUGUAAACAGUUUAGCAUAACUAUAAUAACAGGGUUUUGUUUCAAGUAUAAUAUUUCCUCCUGUUUUGUAACACAUCCAAUGGGUUCUCAUCAUUUGCAAUAUCUACACCAUCAGUUCAGUUUAAUCUCUCUGCAGUUUCAAAUGUCAACACUAUAAAAACCAGAGAGGAUGCAAUGGGUGGCAUUUUAUAAUUUGUACUCUUGCAGCAACUAAAACUAUCAUUUUUUUAAAAAAUUAUUUGGUUUGAAGCAUGUAAAUGUUGCUUAUACUGCAUUUCUUAACCAAAAGCCAAAUGAAUGAAAACUUAUGUCUCCAAGCAAGAUAACGAUCUUGGAUUUAAUGCUGUUAAGUUUUUUUACCAUCCUUUAUUUGUGCUAUUUUCUUAAUUUUGGAGAAUGCAAGACAUUAAUACUUAAUGUUUAAAAAUAACAGCCCUGAUGGUUCGAAUAUCUUUCCCUGCAGGUAUAGGUUGUGUUCUGCAUGCAAUGAUAAGUUGCAGCUUGGAUCAUUGAUCUCUACUUUCACUAACGCCCGUUGUGCCAUUGUUGCUGCUGCGAAGUAACAUUGAAGUGAAGCUGCGGCCUUUUACUUUUCUGAUCUGACAAGAGAAAUUAUACUUUUUGGUGAAUCUGGCAUAAUUCAAUGAGGCUGUUUGGCUCCUGUGCGCAGCAAAUUGAGGGGAAUUGCUGUAACUUAACCAUUGUAAGAUAGCUUGUGUUUUGCAAAACUAUGUGUUGACCUGUUAUGAUCAAAAUCUGUUUGUUGCACUGGCCGUGUUGAGGCUGGAGGAAGAGUGGAAAUUGCGUUGUUAUUCGGUUCUCUAAUCUGCAUCGUUGUUGUGCUCUCUCUCUCUCUCUCUCUCUCUCUCUCUCUUUUUGUGAAUCAAGUUUGCUGGAGCUGCACAUUAGUUGUUCUUGAAUUGGUCAGAAGAAAAUGGAUUGACGCAAAAGUCAUGUAUUGCAUCUAUCAUUUUCUUAUUAGGAUUGCGAGGAGCAUUUACUUUUCUAUAACAAAUCUAAUUUCUGUUGGGAUUUCUUGCAAGUCUAUGAUUUUUCCAUGAUUUCAGCUUAACACAUUCUGCUCACAAACUUUUUUUUUUUUUUUUUUUCAGUUUUCUUUUUUCGUUUUACUGUGAAUUAUUUUCUUUUUGCUUUUUAAUAGAUUAUAUUUAUUUUGUUGUAAAAAUGGGACUUUAUAUCAAAUGCUCAGAAUUUUAUGCUGAAAUUUGUUCUGUCAUCAACUUUGUUGGCUAUUGCGGUUUGGCAGAAGAUUAAAUAUAAUCUCCGGCAGUAAACACUGGCUUAUCCCAACUAGUAAAUUUCCUUGUACAAGUUUGGGUUAUAAUGCAUUUGUUAUAUGUUGACUCUACCACGUUUAUGAAUCUCCAAAAUUCUAACAUUUCGUAUCACUGACUUUGUUCGCAAUAUCAUUGAUCCUGAAUUAACUAUCUUCAUUUAAGAACCUGCCAAAAUGGUGAUCGGUAAUUAUCUAAAAAUCAGAAUAAUAAGUCUACAGAUUUUCAUAUUACAAAAUCCUGCACAUAGAACUAUGCAUAAUUGUGCGUCUUUACAAUUUCCUAUCUUGCUGAAUUUCUGAAUUAAAAAUUGUGAAAGGCACUACUCCUAAAUAAUACAAUAGGUGGGCAUUCCUAGAAAUGCAAAUGGAUCUAGGUUGGAGCUCCGGCCUCAAUCCAUCCCGAAGGGAGCGCUAAAUGGGAAUACAAAAUAUAGAAAAAUAUAAUUCAUUUUGAAUGGAAAUAGAAAAUAUAGAAAAAUAUAACCUGUUUUGAAUCCGCCCAUGAUCUGCCAAGUAAAUGGAGUCGAAGGCGGAAGACCUUUUUCUUCCUUCAAUCCGCUUCGAUCCGUCAAUAAUCUGCCAAAAAUUCACUUCUGUCCCAAAUAGGAUGAUAAAUGAGUCAAAAAUAAAAUAAAAAAUAAUUCACCCUGAAUCCGCCCCACCUUAUAAGAAAUGGAGCGGGAGGUGGGGGAACCCUCCCCCCUCCCCCGGAUCCACCCUGUUUGGAUCCGAGACACUCCCCUAUAUGUCCAAUAUUUUUUUUAAAAAAAAAAUAGCACGAUAUUUAUUUUAUUUAUUAGAUAAAUAAAUUUAGUUAUAUAAAAUGAGACAGUUAAGGUCUCAAAAAAAAAAAAAAAAAGGUGAAAAAUUAAAGAAAAAAUGAACUAAAAAGAAAACCAAAAAAGAACUAAACACGUGUUAUUUCAAAGAAAGCGUGUGUGUGUGUGUGUGAAUCAGUACAUUGGACUAUAAAUAAGAGCAACAUUACGCAGAAGCUAAAACGGUACCUGUAAAUUAAUUAUAAAAUUAAAAACUCAUAAUUACAGCAUGUUGUGGCAUCCGCAACAGUAUUAGUAUAUGUGUGCAAAAUAAUAAUGGAAGAGAUGAUCACGCUUGGAAAUAUAACACUUGUCAAAACAGUACACCGGAUUCGCCACAACGAAUGAUAUGGACUCCUCUCUUCCAUCACGAAUACACACUGGACACGUGUCAAAACAUUUCAUGCCGAUACUCUUCUUCGUCCGUUGGAUCAACUCUAACAUCCUUCCCCGCAGCGAAUCCCCCCAAUCUUUGUUCUUAUUUUUAAUUGUCUCGGCUCUCACCAACCGCCUCUCUUUGAACGGCGACCCAAACCUACGAAGCUCUCUCGCUCCGCCAUUCCCCACGUCCACGGAAUUCCAAAUCCCUAACCCUAAUUCUCGUCCCCGUCCCCCCAAAUCCCCUAAUGCCUCUCCAAAUUUGGAUUUGAAUUCGGAGUGGAUCUUUCGAUCUCUGUGACAUGGGCACACCUCAUGUGAAUCUCGAUCUCAAUGGCGCGGAGAUCCGCGGAGAAUUGGACGAGAGGAACCCUCCAAUCUAUUUGCCCAACCAACCCUCAGAUUCCCCUCUUCUCGCGCUUGAUAUCGGAGGUAAGCGUUUUUUUUUUUUUUGUUUGGCCAAUUUUGUGAUCGAAAUGGUGUUAAAUUUGUUUCGAUUUUGAUGUGCCGGUUCGAUUUUGUGUUAAAUUUAGGGACUUUGAUCAAGCUCGUGUACUUUUCCAAUGGGAAAGAGGGGAAUGCGGGGGGUGAGAGAGGGGUUCGGAAACUUGGUGGGAAGUUGCAUUUCACGAAGUUUGAAACGCGGCGACUUGAUGAGUGCUUGGAUUUUAUUGUGUCAAAGAAGCUCCUUUGUGGUAAGAAUUUGCAAGCAUAUGCCUUUGUUAGGGUUAUUGUUUUACUUGCCAUUAAUAGUUACCAUGCCUUAAAUUGCCUUUAUGUCUCUUGAUGAGUUGAUCAUCAUGCGUUCUGUAAGAGAUAAUUUUGAGGUUCUCUUACUUACAUUUAUUGCAUUUAUCAUCCCAAGAGCAUAUAAAUGUUUGAGAAGAAUUUAACUAACGAAAAUGAUAGCCGAUGUUGGACUGGAUUUGAAGUUUUCUUUAUGCGUGGAAUUUUGAGGGAAUAUGUGUUCUCGUUUUCUUGGAAAGAAAAAAGGCGGUAAAUUACAUGUUUGGUCUUCAAACUAUGAGGCGUGCGACACUUUGGUACUCAAACUUUACUUUGUUGCAAUUUCUAGUUCGAACUUUUUUAUUAAUGCAAUCAAGUCCCACGACCAAAUUUAGUUGACUAAGCGGUUGUUUGGUUCCACGUAAAACUGUGGAAAAUAGUUUUCAGUGGAAAAAAAAUUUUCGGAGGAAAAUAAAUUUUACGGUGUUUAGUGUUUGGUUUAUAGGAAAGAAAAAUAGAUUUCCAUCACGGUUGUUGGUUGAAAGGAAAAGAAAGAUGAAUAAAAACCUAUUAUAUAUAUUUUCUUCUAUUAUAUAUAUAUUAUUAUAUUAUUGAUAUAUAAUAUAUAAUAAUCAUUAUACUACAUAUGCUAGUUUAUAUUUAUAAAUAAAAUAUAUUUUACAAUAANUUGUUAGGAACUUAGGAGUAUACGGGCUGCUGAACUCUUAAUAGCACAAUAGUCCUAUUCUCUCUCUCUCUCUCUCUCUCUCUCUCUCUCUCUAUAUAUAUAUAUAUAUAUAUAUAUAUAUAUAUGUAAAGUUUGAGAAAGAGAGGUCCACAGUGGGAACUCUCGCGCGGUCCAUGAGAAUUGGCUUUUCUCGUGGACCACGAGCACACAACCCUUGGGCCGCUUGUUUUUGAGGAGAAGGUUUUCGUUUUCUGCAUGACAGAAAUGGAAAACGAAAACCCAACUUUUCAUCCAAAUCCAUAAAAUAUUUUUCUAUGUAAAAUAAUUUUACGGCCAACCAAACAGCCUGAAAAAUAUUUUUCAGACUGAAAAGUAUUUUCGGGCAAGUUUUACGAGGAAACAAACACACCCUAAAUGUUGAUGUGUCGCUAAUGUAGAAGUGAUGUAGUAACGUUGUGAUUGAUGAUGAUGCGAUAAUAAUUAAGAUGCUAUAUCACUUCUACAUUAACGUCAACAUUAACGCUAACGUAGGAAUUUUGAGGGAAUGUGUUCUCAUUUUCUUGAAAAAAAAAAAAGAAGAGAGGAGGUAAAUUACAUGUUUGGUCUUCAAACUAUGAGGCGUGUGACACUUUGGUACUCAAACUUUACUUUGUUGCAAUUUCUAGUUCGAACUUUUUUAUUAUUGCAAUUAAGUCCCACGACCAAAUUUAGUUGACUAAGGGAUUGUUUGGUUCCACGUAAAAUUGUGAAAAAUAGUUUUCAGUGGAAAAAAAUUUUCGGUGGAAAAUAAAUUUUAGUGUUUGGUUUGUAGGAAAAGAAAAAUAGAUUUCCAUCACGGUUGUUUGGUUGAAAGGAAAAGAAAGAUGAAUAAAAACCUAUUAUAUAUUUUUUAUUAUUGCAUUGUCGUUUGAAUGUU
RNAcentral lists this long non-coding RNA (17365 nucleotides) under Ananas comosus (pineapple). Its description in RNAcentral is "long non-coding RNA (ACOM_LNC010704)". Lineage: Eukaryota; Viridiplantae; Streptophyta; Magnoliopsida; Poales; Bromeliaceae. The record is from RNAcentral.